Molecule: long non-coding RNA, 398 nt
Organism: Bactrocera neohumeralis
Lineage: Eukaryota; Metazoa; Arthropoda; Insecta; Diptera; Tephritidae
Exons: 3
Source: RefSeq, a predicted model, not a curated record
UUAUUUUUUGUUUACCUAAAUGCGAUGAAAAAAAGUUUCUUUCAUCUCUUGAUUUAUUUGAAUGAGUGCGAAGGAGAAAACAUUAUUGUCAAUAGUGACAAUAGAAAAUCCCAAAAAGGGUAAUAAAAAAACGAUUGAAAGCCGCAUGCCGUUCGUGAUCGUACCAUCGUAAAGGAGGCUCGAACGACAAGAAGGUAAGUAAAUGAAUUUUAUGUGAUUUUUUAACAAUAUUUUGGAACUAAUUACUUCAUUUAUUUUUAUAGCAUUGGAAAUUGGAAGUAGCAGCAGCAGCUAUGUAUAUCAUCAGAAGCGGCAAAUAUCAAUUGUUAAGUGUUAAUAAUCUUUACUUUAUUUUCAGGUAUUUGUCUUUUAUAAUAUUUUUCCACUCUUUUAUUUUC